CAUCUCGAGAGAGGUAAAUCAUAGCAGCCCUAGGAAAAGUGGUGGUGGAAUGAGUUGGGUUCCGGAGAUAACCUGGGUUGCCUUCCUCCUCGUAGCUUCGUUUGCUGGUCGUGAUUUGAAACCAAAGAAGUAAAUUUGACCGGAAGAAAAGAUGAAUCGCCGAUCGCAGUGGUUCAAUCGCUAGAGGAAUGACGAGCGGAUUGGGGCUGCAGGCGACUGAGCUUCGCCUGGGGUUGCCCGGCGCCGUAGUGGAAGGCGAGAGCGCGGAGAAGAGAAGAUACGAGGAAAUAAUCGACCUGAAACUUCAGAUCCAGACACCCGCCGAUGCGAAGGAAACGUAGGAAGCUGCCGAGCGUUGGGAACACUGCUCCAUGUGGCGGCGGCGUCGACACGGAAAAGCCGCCUGCUUCCAAGUGCAGGUUGUAAGUUGAUGACCAGUGAGGUCAUUCAGGAAGAACAUCUUUUCUCUUCACUCUGACAAGGGGAACAGCAACAUGAAGGAGGAUGGUGAAAAGUUAAGCAACCCAAUGGCCUCCUUCAUGAAGGUGAGGAUGGACAGUCCGCCAUACUUGCACAAGGUUGAUCCAAAGAUGUACAAGAGUUACCAAGAGCUCUCCAUGGCGUUGCAGAAGAUGUUUGGCUCCUUCACCAACACUGCUUGAAGAUAGUCCUGAAAAUGUGGGCGCAUUCAAAUUUUUAAUGUUUAAGCAAGAUUCAGCGAGUUAAUGUGCCUUCUCUCCCACAUAUCAGUAAACUGUGGCUGGCUUUCAGGGAAUGAGUGGGAGGGACUACAUAAAUGAGAGCAAGGAUGUUUGUCAACUCACGCAAGCGCUUGUGGAUCAUGAAAGGAUCAGAAGCCACAUGGACUCGGAGGAGGGUCCCAUCUGCAUUCCAUUCAACUUGGUGGUGGACCUCAGUGGCUGGAUGAACCCCACCACUUCAUGCAUGCAUCCACAUCCAGUUUUCAGAUUAGGAUGGUCAUCAGUCAGCUGUCUCAUUUAAUCAAUGCAGUAUAUCCACUACCAGUCUGUCAUCAGCCAAGAUUCUUCCUUUUUGGUCCCAUUAAUUGAUCAACUCUAUCUACUUUCAUUUUCUCUCUUGUUGCACUCUUCCAGUUAGCGCAGUUUGGAAUAGUAUUGUAAAUAAGUCAAGUCGCUUGUUUGAUAAAGUAACCAAGCUAAGUCGAGCUUAAAAUGAACUAAAUUUUUAAAAUGAUUAUUCAAGUUUGCCUUUGUUUUUUUA
Long non-coding RNA from Zingiber officinale, 1242 nucleotides. RefSeq lists it as uncharacterized. The record is from RefSeq and is a predicted model, not a curated record. NCBI's taxonomy places the organism in Eukaryota, Viridiplantae, Streptophyta, Magnoliopsida, Zingiberales, Zingiberaceae. The transcript is spliced from 5 exons.